This 492-nucleotide ribosomal RNA is filed under the name uncultured bacterium. RNAcentral's name for it is "partial 16S ribosomal RNA". It matches the Rfam family "Bacterial small subunit ribosomal RNA", at positions 29 to 507 of the family's 1533-position model. The record is from RNAcentral.
AGUGAACGCUGGCGGUAGGCCUAACACAUGCAAGUCGAACGGCAGCACAGUAAGAGCUUGCUCCUACGGGUGGCGAGUGGCGGACGGGUGAGGAAUACAUCGGAAUCUACUUUUUCGUGGGGGAUAACGUAGGGAAACUUACGCCAAUACCGCAUACGACUUACGGGUGAAAGCAGGGGAUCUUCGGACCUUGCGCGAUUGAAUGAGCCGAUGUCGGAUUAGCUAGUUGGCGGGGUAAAGGCCCACCAAGGCGACGAUCCGUAGCUGGUCUGAUAGGAUGAUCAGCCACACUGGAACUGAGACACGGUCCAGACUCCUACGAGAGGCAGCAGUGGGGAAUAUUGGACAAUGGGCGCAAGCCUGAUCCAGCCAUACCGCGUGGGUGAAAGAGGCCUUCGGGUUGUAAAGCCCUUUUGUUGGGAAAGAAAAGCAGCAGGUUAAUACCCCGCUGUUCUGACGGUACCCAAAGAAUAAGCACCGGCUAACUUCGUG